GGGCGGUUGGCGGAAUGGCAGACGCAGCGGACUUAAAAUCCGCCGGGGAAACCCGUGAGGGUUCGAAUCCCUCCCCGCCCACCA
Molecule: transfer RNA, 84 nt
Filed under: Pseudomonadota bacterium
Lineage: Bacteria; Pseudomonadati; Pseudomonadota
Also listed under: 1 other name
Description: tRNA-Leu
Rfam family: tRNA
About the family: Transfer RNA (tRNA) molecules are approximately 80 nucleotides in length. Their secondary structure includes four short double-helical elements and three loops (D, anti-codon, and T loops). Further hydrogen bonds mediate the characteristic L-shaped molecular structure. tRNAs have two regions of fundamental functional importance: the anti-codon, which is responsible for specific mRNA codon recognition, and the 3' end, to which the tRNAs corresponding amino acid is attached (by aminoacyl-tRNA synthetases). tRNAs cope with the degeneracy of the genetic code in two manners: having more than one tRNA (with a specific anti-codon) for a particular amino acid; and 'wobble' base-pairing, i.e. permitting non-standard base-pairing at the 3rd anti-codon position.
Source: RNAcentral